This 252-nucleotide unclassified non-coding RNA is filed under the name fungal sp. RNAcentral describes it as "partial internal transcribed spacer region". The stretch from base 1 to 46 matches the Rfam family "Eukaryotic small subunit ribosomal RNA", at positions 1786 to 1831 of the family's 1831-position model. The record is from RNAcentral. Lineage: Eukaryota; Fungi.
AAGUCGUAACAAGGUAACCGUAGGUGAACCUGCGGUUGGAUCAUUACUAAAUGAUAAAACCUUCUCUAUGUCUGGGUGCUAACACACUCUUUCAUAGUAGAAACACACCAUGUGAACUUUAUUUUGUCUUUGCUGAUGUUGGUGUACAUUCGUGUGCAUUCAGUCAGCAAACUUAUUUACAAACCCCUUAUAUUAAGUCUUACUUUUAUAAAAGAAUGUAAACAACUUUUAACAACGGAUCUCUAGGCUCUC